GACGAACGCUGGCGGCGUGCCUAAUACAUGCAAGUAGAACGCUGAAGGAGGAGCUUGCUCUUCUGGAUGAGUUGCGAACGGGUGAGUAACGCGUAGGUAACCUGCCUGGUAGCGGGGGAUAACUAUUGGAAACGAUAGCUAAUACCGCAUAACAGUAGAUGUUGCAUGACAUUUGCUUAAAAGGUGCAAUUGCACCACUACCAGAUGGACCUGCGUUGUAUUAGCUAGUUGGUGGGGUAACGGCUCACCAAGGCGACGAUACAUAGCCGACCUGAGAGGGGGAGCGGCCACACUGGGACUGAGACACGGCCCAGACGCCUACGGGAGGCAGCAGUAGGGAAUCUUCGGCAAUGGACGGAAGUCUGACCGAGCAACGCCGAGUGAGUGAAGAAGGUUGUCGGAUCGUAAAGCUCUGUUGUAAGAGAAGAACGAGUGUGAGAGUGGAAAGUUCACACUGUGACGGUAUCUUACCAGAAAGGGACGGCUAACUACGUG
Molecule: ribosomal RNA, 495 nt
Filed under: uncultured bacterium
Lineage: Bacteria
Description: partial 16S ribosomal RNA
Rfam family: Bacterial small subunit ribosomal RNA
Source: RNAcentral